GCCUAGAUAGUUCAGUUCGGUAGAGCUCCGCGUUGAAAGCCGCGGGACGCGGUUUCGAAUCCAUCUCCAGGCA
Molecule: transfer RNA, 73 nt
Filed under: Bradyrhizobium sp. cir1
Lineage: Bacteria; Pseudomonadati; Pseudomonadota; Alphaproteobacteria; Hyphomicrobiales; Nitrobacteraceae
Description: tRNA-Phe
Source: RNAcentral